GAUGAACGCUGGCGGCGUGCCUAAUACAUGCAAGUCGAGCGAACAGACGAGGAGCUUGCUCCUCUGACGUUAGCGGCGGACGGGUGAGUAAACGUGGAUAACCUACCUAUAAGACUGGGAUAACUUCGGGAAACCGGAGCUAAUACCGGAUAAUAUAUUGAACCGCAUGGUUCAAUAGUGAAAGACGGUUUUGCUGUCACUUAUAGAUGGAUCCGCGCCGCAUUAGCUAGUUGGUAAGGUAACGGCUUACCAAGGCGACGAUGCGUAGCCGACCUGAGAGGGUGAUCGGCCACACUGGAACUGAGACACGGUCCAGACUCCUACGGGAGGCAGCAGUAGGGAAUCUUCCGCAAUGGGCGAAAGCCUGACGGAGCAACGCCGCGUGAGUGAUGAAGGUCUUCGGAUCGUAAAACUCUGUUAUUAGGGAAGAACAAAUGUGUAAGUAACUAUGCACGUCUUGACGGUACCUAAUCAGAAAGCCACGGCUAACUACGUG
Molecule: ribosomal RNA, 496 nt
Filed under: uncultured bacterium
Lineage: Bacteria
Description: partial 16S ribosomal RNA
Rfam family: Bacterial small subunit ribosomal RNA
Source: RNAcentral